CUUACCCUUUUACUGUUAUAAAGAAAUAAUAAGAAGAUUAUCGCGUAUUUACAGACCACCAAGAGGGGGGAGAGAGAGAGAGAGAGCUUAGACUUGAUCCCAAUGGGUGUUUUGUUUUCACUGUAGAAAUCGCGUAGAAAAUAAUUGAAAAAGAAAAAUCCAAAAACAAAGGGAGGAAGAAGGAAAAGAAUAGCCGUAGUUGAUACUUAAUAUUGAUGAGAAAGGGGACGCUGUGGUAGCUAAGAGACGAUAGUAAGACAACCUCUGCAAUCUAUGUAGAGAUAGAGAUAGCGAUUGUCCAACUUCAUUCGGAUAUAGAUUGGUUGUUCUAAAUGGAUCCAAUGGCUGAAGAGCAAAUAGAUUAUGAAGAUGAGGAAUAUGGAGGGGCUCAGAAGCUUCAGUAUCAGGGAAGUGGAGCCAUCUCUGCGCUUGCAGAUGAAGAACCCAUGGUAGAAGAUGAUGAGUAUGAUGAUCUCUAUAAUGAUGUUAAUGUUAGAGAGGGUUUCUUGCAGAUGCACCGGUCUGAGGCACCACUCCCACCUGGUGGUGUUGGCAAUGGAGGUCUCCAAGCACAGAAAACUGAUGUUACUGAAACAAGAGUUCAAGCUGGUGUCUCUCAGGAAUCGAAAAUUCCUGGGGUUUCAGUUCAAGGGAAGUAUUCUAGUGCUGUGGCCCAGUUUCCAGAACAACAGGGUCAGCCACCAGUGGCUAAGGAGCCAGAACUGGGAUCCACAGGUUAUGUGGGUGGAGCUUCUGGAUCUCAAAAGGGGAGGGCUAUGGAGAUGAGUCAUGAUACUCAAGUCAGACAUAUGGGGUUUCAGGGGUCGACAACUAUGCCCCCAAAUGUCGGUGGUGAUUCUUCUGACAUUACUGGGAAAACUGCUCUCGAGUCUGUUCCGUCUAUGAAUUCUGGCACUGCUGGUCCUACAGGAGUUACACAGAUGCCGACUAAUCAAAUCAGUAUCAAGGUAAAUGCUAAUCGUCCAAUGUUUAAUGAAAACCAAAUCCGGCCACCAGUUGAAAAUGGUUCAACCAUGCUGUUUGUGGGAGAACUACAUUGGUGGACAACUGAUGCUGAGCUUGAAAGUGUUUUAUCUCAGUAUGGGAGGGUCAAGGAAAUUAAGUUUUUUGAUGAGAGAGCCAGUGGUAAAUCCAAAGGAUAUUGUCAGGUUGAGUUUCAUGAUCCAGCUGCUGCCACUGCAUGCAAAGAGGGAAUGGAUGGUUAUCUUUUCAAUGGGAGAGCUUGUGUUGUGGCUUUUGCUUCUCCACAGACUUUGAAGCAGAUGGGAGCUUCUUAUUUAAGCAAAUCCCAAGGCCAGACUCAGUCUCAGCAACCAGGAAGAAGGCCCAUGAACGAGGGUGUUGGAAGGGGAGGAGGUGUGAACUAUCAAACUGGAGACACUGGAGGGAGGAAUUUUGGAAGGGGUGGAUGGGGACGAGGUGGACAGGGAGUAGCCAACAGAGGUCCUGGAGGUGGAGGACCAAUGAGAGGAAGAGGAGGGGCCAUGGGCGCAAAGAACAUGGCUGGGAACCCUGCUGGUGUUGGAACUGGUGCUAAUGGAGGCUAUGGACAGGGCCUUGCAGGUCCUGGGUUUGGAGGUCCUGUAGGAGGUAUGAUGAAUCCACAGGGUAUGAUGGGUGCUGGAUUUGAUCCAACAUAUAUGGGCCGAGGAGGCGGUUAUGGAGGAUUUCCAGGUCCUGCUUUUCCUGGAAUGCUUUCUUCAUUUCCUGCUGUUAAUACAAUGGGACUUGCUGGGGUGGCUCCUCAUGUAAACCCAGCUUUCUUUGGCAGGGGAAUGGCAACUAAUGGAAUGGGAAUGAUGGGUUCUUCUGGAAUGGAUGGGCAUCAUGCAGGGAUGUGGAAUGACCCAAGCAUGGGUGGGUGGGGAGGAGACGAACAUGGUCGAAGAACUAGGGAGUCAAGUUAUGGUGGUGAUGAUGGUGCUUCUGAGUAUGGGUAUGGAGAGGCAAAUCAUGAAAAAGGAGGAAGGUCAAAUGCUCCCUCGAGGGAAAGAGAACGGGGAUCUGAGCGUGACUGGUCAGGAAACUCUGAGAGGAGGCAUCGUGAUGAGAGGGAACAAGACUGGGACAGGUCUGAAAGAGGGGAGCACAGGGAGCAUCGGUACAAAGAAGAAAAAGAUAGUUACCGAGACCAUCGACAGAGAGAGCGUGAUGUGGGUUAUGAGGAUGACUGGGACAGAGGUCAGUCUUCUUCAAGACCUCGGAGCCGGUCCAAAGCAAUGCCGGAAGAUGAUCAUCGGUCUCGAUCAAGGGAUGUUGAUUACGGGAAGAGGAGACGGUUGCCAUCUGAGUGACACAAUUAGACUAUUGACCUUCUCUAGCAUGUCUUUGAGACUGCAGAAUAUAAGUUCUGACCAUUAGUAUAUCUAGCCUUGGGUACCUACGGUGAAUCUGUAUUCUUCCUGCAAACGUGGCUUCUUGAGGGAGAAGGAGUAGAGUGGGCAACUCCUUUUCAUAAUUGAAUCAGCCUGUGCUGGUCACAUGAUGGAAGAUGUGUUACAUGGAUGCGUUUCCAAGUGUGCAAAAGAAGCUUUUGACUAUUUUGACUUUCACCUUAUUUUCUUGAAGCACCACUUAAAAAUAUGUAUUAGUGCUCCUGCAACAAAAUAUCUAGAAAGAGUGUUCUCCAACUAGUGAAAUAUUAAGUGCAGACUUGUCAGUGUGCAUGUAAAGAACUGAAUGUCCUUGUGUAAUUGUAGGCCUUUUGUAUUAGGUCCACAUGUAAUGCCCUUUUCUGUUGUAAUAGUCUUGUAUGGAAUUGGAUGUGCUUGGUUGUAGAUAUUCAGUGUGUUGUAACUUCCAUUGUCUGCUCUAUGCACUAGGGAGUUGGGAUUGAUCCAUUAAGACAUUGUAACAGGAAGCCACUGUGCUAAAUUGUAAUUAGUCAUAGAUUUAUACAACACAGUUUCUGUUGAAGCAA
This is an RNA transcript of Prunus persica (peach), 2941 nucleotides long. It is a transcript of the gene named cleavage and polyadenylation specificity factor subunit 6, with no coding region annotated. The record is from RefSeq and is a predicted model, not a curated record. The transcript is spliced from 3 exons. NCBI's taxonomy places the organism in Eukaryota, Viridiplantae, Streptophyta, Magnoliopsida, Rosales, Rosaceae.